Non-coding RNA from Rattus norvegicus (Norway rat), 689 nucleotides. NCBI's taxonomy places the organism in Eukaryota, Metazoa, Chordata, Mammalia, Rodentia, Muridae. The record is from RefSeq and is a predicted model, not a curated record.
CAGCAACUACCUCUUUGAUAUUCCUUCAUUACCUCUAGGGUUUACUAACUUUACUCUAAUUCAGAGUAAGCAGCCAUUUGGGAGUGAUAACAAGAGGAUAAAGACAUCACAGAUGGGGAGAAGGACCUGGCCUUCUGUCUUGGUAUAAAAAAAGGAAGAAAUAUGUCAUCCAUGAGAAAGGUUUCCUUCAAACUCCUGGAAUCAUUAAUAAAUAUGCUAUUGGAGGAGAUAAAAUAAAAACUUCAUAAAAACAACAAAAGAACAGCAGAUAAGGGGACAGGACCGAAGGCGCCUCAGACAUGGCAGGCCAAGCCUAAAAACAAGGUCAAGAAAUUGUUCCAGGAACUAGCAGCCACCAUCUCUGCUGAGUCAUGGGCCAUCCGGACGAGCAACUCCCUGUUCCGCUACAGUUAAUAGUUACCAAACUCCCUGCUCUGCAAAUAAAGAUAAGACACUCUCCUACAUUGUGAAUACUCCAGCCCGCAUGUACUGCUUGGUGGUUAGACCUUGUACCCAUUUCCCUUGCUGAUAUAUGAAUCAACCAAUCAAUUAUAACCACGCUGAAUCCCCUUGACUUCCCCUAUAAAAAGCCUUAAAUAUCGACUCUUGGGCUCGACUCCUCUGUCUCCUGUGUGAGAUAUGAGCCGUCCCAGAGCUCUGAUAAUAAACUGCCUCGUGUGCUUUAUGUC